AUUCUCCCGAAGCUGCGCGCUCGGUCAAAGAGGACGACCUUCCCCGAUAGAGGAGAGGACCGUUCUUCGGUCAAGGGUAUACGAGUAGCUGCGCUCCCCUGCUAGAACCUCCAAACAAGCUCUCAAGGUCCAUCCUCUUUUUAUGCCUUCCCACGUAUCAUUCAGGAAUUCAGC
Molecule: small RNA, 174 nt
Filed under: Mustela putorius furo (domestic ferret)
Lineage: Eukaryota; Metazoa; Chordata; Mammalia; Carnivora; Mustelidae
Description: 7SK RNA (ENSMPUG00000020726.1)
Rfam family: 7SK RNA
About the family: 7SK was discovered as an abundant small nuclear RNA in the mid-70s but a possible function has only recently been suggested. Two independent studies have found that 7SK RNA binds the CDK9/cyclin T complex (known as elongation factor P-TEFb).
Source: RNAcentral